CCGUGCCAGGUGGGGAGUUAGCGGUGCCCUGAACUUGCAAUCCGCUAUAGCAAGACCGCAGGUCCGCCCCGGCGCAUCGCAUGGAUGGCAGAGCAGUAUAAGGAGUGAUGAUAUCAAGGUCUUAUGCAACGGACUGCCGUGAACCGUGUCAGGAUAGGGAUAUAGCAGCACUAAGCGGAUAUGCUUCGUGUGCCAUGAGGUAGCUUUGAAGGAGCCACCUGUGCUGCCCCCGCAUCGGUGCCUUACGUCAAAGCGGAUGCACG
This 263-nucleotide signal recognition particle RNA is filed under the name human gut metagenome. Its description in RNAcentral is "Bacterial large signal recognition particle RNA". It matches the Rfam family "Bacterial large signal recognition particle RNA". Rfam says of the family: The signal recognition particle (SRP) is a universally conserved ribonucleoprotein involved in the co-translational targeting of proteins to membranes. Archaeal SRP consists of a 7S RNA and homologues of the eukaryotic SRP19 and SRP54 proteins. In most bacteria, the SRP consists of a 4.5S RNA and the Ffh protein (a homologue of the eukaryotic SRP54 protein). The record is from RNAcentral.